Molecule: ribosomal RNA, 253 nt
Filed under: uncultured bacterium
Lineage: Bacteria
Description: partial 16S ribosomal RNA
Rfam family: Bacterial small subunit ribosomal RNA
Source: RNAcentral
UACGUAGGGGGCAAGCGUUGUCCGGAUUUACUGGGCGUAAAGCGCGCGUAGGCGGAGCGGCAAGUCCGGUCUGAAAGCCCCCGGCUCAACCGGGGAGGGUGGCUGGAAACUGCCGUUCUUGAGUCCGGGAGAGGUGAGUGGAACUGCGAGUGUAGAGGUGAAAUUCGUAGAUAUUCGCAAGAACACCAGUGGCGAAGGCAGGUCUCUGGGCCAUAACUGACGCUGAGAAGCGAAAGCAUGGGGAGCGAACAGG